RNAcentral lists this ribosomal RNA (309 nucleotides) under uncultured eukaryote. RNAcentral's name for it is "partial large subunit ribosomal RNA". It matches the Rfam family "Eukaryotic large subunit ribosomal RNA", at positions 40 to 350 of the family's 3401-position model. The record is from RNAcentral.
AUAUAAUUAAGCGGAGGAAAAGAAACUAACUAGGAUUCCCUUAGUAAUGGCGAAUGAACAGGGAAAAGCUCAGUGCCCAAUCGGUCUUCUUACGAAGUUCGACAUGUGGUUUUGGUGGAAGGCCAGUUGAAGUUCCUGUUAAAGUCCCUUGGAAGAGGGCGCCAAGGAGGGUGAUAGCCCCGUUCAUGGCAGGUUACUUUUGACGUACGGCCUCUGCUAAAUGAGUCGCGUUCUUUGGGAAAAGAGCGCAAAAGGGUGGUAAGUUCCAUCCAAAGCUAAAUAUGUCCACGAGACCGAAGCGCACAAGUA